AUGGCGCUGGCCACCCCGACAGCCGUGGUGCUGGAGCUGAUGACGAUGGGGCAGCAGUCCGCGGCGCACCUCAGGGAGCUUCUCCGGGCGGCGUCCCCGCCGGUGCAGGCGGAGCACCAGGCGCUCGCCGCGGAGAUCCUCCGCUGCUGCGACCGGGUGAUCGCCGCGGUGAGCGCGGGCGCCACCGAUAAAAAGAGGAAGGCGACGGACCCUGGCGCCACAUCCUGCCAUCUUCCCCUCGCCAUGAUGCCGUCCAAAAGAAGGGUGCGUGGGGCGGAGGCGCACAGAGAGGUCCAUGCCGACACGACGGCGGACGGGUUCGUGUGGAGGAAGUACGGGCAAAAGGACAUCAACGGAAGCAACCACCCGAGGCUCUACUACCGCUGCGCGCUCAGCGGCGAGGGCUGCGCCGCGACCCGGCGGGUGCAGCGGUCGCAGGAGGAGCCCGCGGCGUUCGUGAUCGCCUACUACGGCGAGCACACCUGCGGAGCCGCCUUCUGUCAGCAAAGGGCGGAGCCACUGCCUCCUACCGUCGUCGACUCAGGCUCAAACGCUUGGGGAGUCUUCGGUGCCGUCGACCGGAACAGGGGCUCGCCUCUGCUGCCGUCGCUCGGAGCCGAGCACAAGCACAGCGCCGUGCGCCGUCACGCCGAGGCGCCCGGUGACACGUCGCGGCGAUGGUCGUCGCCGUCGUCCUCCUCGUCCUACUCCUCCGAGGUGGAACUUGGUGCUUCUCCUGUCGAGGGGUUCCUCGAUGGCAACUUCGACUGGGAGUGGGAGACCGUCGUCAACUCGCUCAGCUUCGGCGAUCUGCUUCACUAG
RNAcentral lists this ribosomal RNA (822 nucleotides) under Triticum aestivum (bread wheat). RNAcentral describes it as "partial small subunit ribosomal RNA". The record is from RNAcentral. Lineage: Eukaryota; Viridiplantae; Streptophyta; Magnoliopsida; Poales; Poaceae.